This 275-nucleotide RNase P RNA is filed under the name Candidatus Pacearchaeota archaeon CG10_big_fil_rev_8_21_14_0_10_32_42. RNAcentral describes it as "RNase P RNA component". It matches the Rfam family "Archaeal RNase P". From Rfam's summary of the family: Ribonuclease P (RNase P) is a ubiquitous endoribonuclease, found in archaea, bacteria and eukarya as well as chloroplasts and mitochondria. Lineage: Archaea; Nanobdellati. The record is from RNAcentral.
AGAAGUAAAAGUAUGACUUUUGGAUUUUGAGGAAGGUCCGCCCACCAUAAAAAAGCCAUCUUUCGAAAGAGAGAUUGUCGUGAGGCAAAGCCCUGCUACAGAAACGCCACAGCCGUUUUGGAGUUAUGAAUCGUGAGAUGAACUAAGAAGAAACGGAUUUGAUGAAACGGGCAACUUGGCUGGUGCAAGAGUAACCUAUUGGUACGCUCGCUUAGUCAGAUGUUAGAAUGUUCUGUUCGGAAACGAAGAACAACAGAAGGUGGCCUACUCCAACU